This 508-nucleotide ribosomal RNA is filed under the name uncultured bacterium. Its description in RNAcentral is "partial 16S ribosomal RNA". It matches the Rfam family "Bacterial small subunit ribosomal RNA", at positions 28 to 507 of the family's 1533-position model. The record is from RNAcentral.
GACGAACGCUGGCGGCGUGCCUAAUACAUGCAAGUCGAACGCUUCUUUCCUCCCGAGUGCUUGCACUCAAUUGGAAAGAGGAGUGGCGGACGGGUGAGUAACACGUGGGUAACCUACCCAUCAGAGGGGGAUAACACUUGGAAACAGGUGCUAAUACCGCAUAACAGUUUAUGCCGCAUGGCAUAAGGGUGAAAGGCGCUUUCGGGUGUCGCUGAUGGAUGGACCCGCGGUGCAUUAGCUAGUUGGUGAGGUAACGGCUCACCAAGGCCACGAUGCAUAGCCGACCUGAGAGGGUGAUCGGCCACACUGGGACUGAGACACGGCCAAGACUCCUACGGGAGGCAGCAGUAGGGAAUCUUCGGCAAUGGACGAAAGUCUGACCGAGCAACGCCGCGUGAGUGAAGAAGGUGUUCGGAUCGUAAAACUCUGUUGUUAGAGAAGAACAAGGACGUUAGUAACUGAACGUCCCCUGACGGUAUCUAACCAGAAAGCCACGGCUAACUACGUG